Molecule: ribosomal RNA, 467 nt
Filed under: uncultured bacterium
Lineage: Bacteria
Description: bacterial SSU rRNA
Rfam family: Bacterial small subunit ribosomal RNA
Source: RNAcentral
ACCAGACUCCUACGGGAGGCAGCAGUGAGGAAUAUUGGUCAAUGGGCGGGAGCCUGAACCAGCCAAGUCGCGUGAGGGAAGACGGUCCUACGGAUUGUAAACCUCUUUUGCCGGGGAGCAACGGGGUCCUUGCGAGGGCCCAAUGAGAGUACCCGGAGAAAAAGCAUCGGCUAACUCCGUGCCAGCAGCCGCGGUAAUACGGAGGAUGCGAGCGUUAUCCGGAUUUAUUGGGUUUAAAGGGUGCGUAGGCGGGCUGUUAAGUCAGCGGUCAAAUGUCGGGGCUCAACUUCGGAAUUGCCUCUGAUACUGUUCGGCUAGAGAGUAGUUGCGGUAGGCGGAAUGUAUGGUGUAGCGGUGAAAUGCUUAGAGAUCAUACAGAACACCGAUUGCGAAGGCAGCAUACCGGCGCCCAACUGACGCUGAAGCACGAAAGCGUGGGUAUCGAACAGGAUUAGAUACCCCUGUAA